CCUACGGGUGGCAGCAGUGGGGAAUAUUGCACAAUGGGGGAAACCCUGAUGCAGCGACGCCGCGUGAGUGAAGAAGUAUUUCGGUAUGUAAAGCUCUAUCAGCAGGGAAGAAAAUGACGGUACCUGAUUAAGAAGCCCCGGCUAACUACGUGCCAGCAGCCGCGGUAAUACGUAGGGGGCAAGCGGUAUCCGGAUUUACUGGGUGUAAGGGGAGCGUAGACGGCAGCAGAAGUCUGGAGUGAAAUGCCGGGGCUUAACCCCGGAACUGCUUUGGAAACUGUGCAGCUAGAGGGCAGGAGAGGUAAGUGGAAUUCCUAGUGUAGCGGUGAAAUGCGUAGAUAUUAGGAGGAACACCAGUGGCGAAGGCGGCUUACUGGACUGUAACUGACGUUGAGGCUCGAAAGCGUGGGGAGCAAACAGGAUUAGAUACCCUUGUAGUC
Molecule: ribosomal RNA, 440 nt
Filed under: uncultured bacterium
Lineage: Bacteria
Description: partial 16S ribosomal RNA
Rfam family: Bacterial small subunit ribosomal RNA
Source: RNAcentral